AAGUCGUAACAAGGUUUCCGUAGGUGAACCUGCGGAAGGAUCAUUAACACAAAACUUUCAAUUUAUACUGCGGGUAAUAGCAAAGAACCUACCGUGCCACUGGUCACUAGUCAAUGGUUGGUCCCUUCAUCAAGGAUCUUGAUUUGCUGUUUCGGCUCUUCUUGAUCUGGGAGGGGAACAGGCUAGUGUCUGUGUAUCCGCUUGCGAGGUAACUGUGAGCCGGUAAGGAAUACAGCCUGGACCAUGGCUGGCAAACAUUUUUUUUUUCUUAAACUUUAACGUACGGUCUAUUUGCGGGUUUUGAUUUCAGAUUGAGAGGAUUGAAUUCAUUUCAUUCCUUUCUCUGGUUGAGCUCGUUUGGCUUGGAGCAAUCUAAGACCAUAAAUGAAAAACAACUCUUAACAGCGGAUAUCUCGGUUCUG
This 422-nucleotide unclassified non-coding RNA is filed under the name fungal sp. RNAcentral's name for it is "partial internal transcribed spacer region". The stretch from base 1 to 46 matches the Rfam family "Eukaryotic small subunit ribosomal RNA", at positions 1786 to 1831 of the family's 1831-position model. Lineage: Eukaryota; Fungi. The record is from RNAcentral.